GACGAACGCUGGCGGCGUGCCUAAUACAUGCAAGUUGAGCGCUGAAGGUUGGUACUUGUACCAACUGGAUGAGCAGCGAACGGGUGAGUAACGCGUGGGGAAUCUGCCUUUGAGCGGGGGACAACAUUUGGAAACGAAUGCUAAUACCGCAUAAAAACUUUAAACACAAGUUGUAAGUUUGAAAGAUGCAAUUGCAUCACUCAAAGAUGAUCCCGCGUUGUAUUAGCUAGUUGGUGAGGUAAAGGCUCACCAAGGCGAUGAUACAUAGCCGACCUGAGAGGGUGAGCGGCCACAUUGGGACUGAGACACGGCCCAAACUCCUACGGGAGGCAGCAGUAGGGAAUCUUCGGCAAUGGACGAAAGUCUGACCGAGCAACGCCGCGUGAGUGAAGAAGGUUUUCGGAUCGUAAAACUCUGUUGGUAGAGAAGAACGUUGGUGAGAGUGGAAAGCUCAUCAAGUGACGGUAACUACCCAGAAAGGGACGGCUAACUACGUG
Molecule: ribosomal RNA, 497 nt
Filed under: uncultured bacterium
Lineage: Bacteria
Description: partial 16S ribosomal RNA
Rfam family: Bacterial small subunit ribosomal RNA
Source: RNAcentral